Molecule: ribosomal RNA, 480 nt
Filed under: Pantoea agglomerans
Lineage: Bacteria; Pseudomonadati; Pseudomonadota; Gammaproteobacteria; Enterobacterales; Erwiniaceae
Description: bacterial SSU rRNA
Rfam family: Bacterial small subunit ribosomal RNA
Source: RNAcentral
UUUAGAGUUUGAUCCUGGCUCAGAUUGAACGCUGGCGGCAGGCCUAACACAUGCAAGUCGGACGGUAGCACAGAGAGCUUGCUCUUGGGUGACGAGUGGCGGACGGGUGAGUAAUGUCUGGGGAUCUGCCCGAUAGAGGGGGAUAACCACUGGAAACGGUGGCUAAUACCGCAUAACGUCGCAAGACCAAAGAGGGGGACCUUCGGGCCUCUCACUAUCGGAUGAACCCAGAUGGGAUUAGCUAGUAGGCGGGGUAAUGGCCCACCUAGGCGACGAUCCCUAGCUGGUCUGAGAGGAUGACCAGCCACACUGGAACUGAGACACGGUCCAGACUCCUACGGGAGGCAGCAGUGGGGAAUAUUGCACAAUGGGCGCAAGCCUGAUGCAGCCAUGCCGCGUGUAUGAAGAAGGCCUUCGGGUUGUAAAGUACUUUCAGCGGGGAGGAAGGCGACGGGGUUAAUAACCCUUCGAUGACUACCC